AACGAACGCUGGCGGCAUGCCUAACACAUGCAAGUCGAACGAAGCCUUCGGGCUUAGUGGCGCACGGGUGCGUAACGCGUGGGAAUCUGCCCCUUGCUUCGGAAUAACAGUUAGAAAUGACUGCUAAUACCGGAUGAAGUCUUCGGACCAAAGAUUUAUCGGCAAGGGAUGAGCCCGCGUAGGAUUAGGUAGUUGGUGGGGUAAAGGCCUACCAAGCCGACGAUCCUUAGCUGGUCUGAGAGGAUGAUCAGCCACACUGGGACUGAGACACGGCCCAGACUCCUACGGGGAGCAGCAGUAGGGAAUAUUGGACGAUGGACGCAAGUCUGAUCCAGCAAUGCCGCGUGAGUGAUGAAGGCCUUAGGGUUGUAAAGCUCUUUUACCAGGGAUGAUAAUGACAGUACCUGGAGAAUAAGCUCCGGCUAACUCCGUG
RNAcentral lists this ribosomal RNA (433 nucleotides) under uncultured bacterium. Its description in RNAcentral is "partial 16S ribosomal RNA". It matches the Rfam family "Bacterial small subunit ribosomal RNA", at positions 29 to 507 of the family's 1533-position model. The record is from RNAcentral.